RNAcentral lists this ribosomal RNA (301 nucleotides) under uncultured bacterium. RNAcentral describes it as "partial 16S ribosomal RNA". It matches the Rfam family "Bacterial small subunit ribosomal RNA", at positions 509 to 808 of the family's 1533-position model. The record is from RNAcentral.
CAGUCGCCACGGUAAUACGUAGGUCCCGAGCGUUGUCCGGAUUUAUUGGGCGUAAAGCGAGCGCAGGCGGUUAGAUAAGUCUGAAGUUAAAGGCUGUGGCUUAACCAUAGUACACUUUGGAAACUGUUUAACUUGAGUGCAAGAGGGGAGAGUGGAAUUCCAUGUGUAGCGGUGAAAUGCGUAGAUAUAUGGAGGAACACCGGUGGCGAAAGCGGCUCUCUGGCUUGUAACUGACGCUGAGGCUCGAAAGCGUGGGGAGCAAACAGGAUUAGAUACCCCAGUAGUCCCUGUCUCUUAUACA